RNAcentral lists this ribosomal RNA (254 nucleotides) under uncultured bacterium. RNAcentral describes it as "partial 16S ribosomal RNA". It matches the Rfam family "Bacterial small subunit ribosomal RNA", at positions 524 to 776 of the family's 1533-position model. The record is from RNAcentral.
UACGGGGGGGGCAAGCGUUGUUCGGAAUUACUGGGCGUAAAGGGCUCGUAGGCGGCCAACUAAGUCAGACGUGAAAUCCCUCGGCUUAACCGGGGAACUGCAUCUGAUACUGGAUGGCUUGAGUUCGGGAGAGGGAUGCGGAAUUCCAGGUGUAGCGGUGAAAUGCGUAGAUAUCUGGAGGAACACCGGUGGCGAAGGCGGCAUCCUGGACCGACACUGACGCUGACAGCGCGAAAGCCAGGGGAGCAAACGGG